AUUGAACGCUGGCGGCAUGCCUUACACAUGCAAGUCGAACGGUAACAGGUCUUCGGAUGCUGACGAGUGGCGAACGGGUGAGUAAUACAUCGGAACGUGCCCGAUCGUGGGGGAUAACGCAGCGAAAGCUGUGCUAAUACCGCAUACGAUCUACGGAUGAAAGCGGGGGAUCGCAAGACCUCGCGCGGACGGAGCGGCCGAUGGCAGAUUAGGUAGUUGGUGGGGUAAAGGCUCACCAAGCCUGCGAUCUGUAGCUGGUCUGAGAGGACGACCAGGCACACGGGGACUGAGACACGGCCCAGACUCCGACGGGAGGCAGCAGUGGGGAAUGUUGGACAAUGGGCGCAAGCCUGAUCCAGCCAUGCCGCGUGUAGGAUGAAGGCCUUCGGGUUGUAAACUGCUUUUGUACGGAACGAAAAGGUUCUUUCUAAUAAAGAGAGCCCAUGACGGUACCGUAAGAAUAAGCACCGGCUAACUACGUGCCAGCAGCCGCCGCAG
This 498-nucleotide ribosomal RNA is filed under the name uncultured bacterium. Its description in RNAcentral is "partial 16S ribosomal RNA". It matches the Rfam family "Bacterial small subunit ribosomal RNA", at positions 29 to 523 of the family's 1533-position model. The record is from RNAcentral.